UACGUAGGUGACCAGCGUUGUCCGGAUUUACUGGGCGUAAAGAGCGCGCAGGCGGUCGUUCAAGUCGAGUGUGAAAGCCCCCGGCCCAACUGGGGAGGGUCACUCGAUACUGAUCGACUUGAAGGCAGGAGAGGGAAGCGGAAUUCCCGGUGUAGUGGUGAAAUGCGUAGAUAUCGGGAGGAACACCAGUGGCGAAGGCGGCUUCCUGGCCUGUUCUUGACGCUGAGGCGCGAAAGCUAGGGGAGCAAACGGG
Molecule: ribosomal RNA, 253 nt
Filed under: uncultured bacterium
Lineage: Bacteria
Description: partial 16S ribosomal RNA
Rfam family: Bacterial small subunit ribosomal RNA
Source: RNAcentral